RNAcentral lists this small RNA (330 nucleotides) under Histoplasma capsulatum. RNAcentral's name for it is "hypothetical RNA". Lineage: Eukaryota; Fungi; Ascomycota; Eurotiomycetes; Onygenales; Ajellomycetaceae. The record is from RNAcentral. RNAcentral also lists the same sequence under 1 other name.
UAUACCAAAGGUUGAUACUACUAUGUACGUAUGUAGAGUACCUUAAGAAGCAGCUCUUAUCUCGGUGCUCGAUGAUAAUACCGUUCAAGGGAAUAAAUAAAGAAAUAAGUAGUUAGUUUAACGUCCAGGAACGGUGCAGUCAACAUCGAAACAAAGCGAAAAACGAACCAAGCAUGUUUCGAUCUGGACAACACCUCAACCCGUAUACGCCCUUGCUUCCAUAGCCCAUCACCACCGUACAACGCACACGGCACAGGGAUGGGCGAUAGGAAUCCGCCGGCAGACGACAUCGCUGAUGACAGGAAUGCAGAAAGGGAAUAAAACGAACAA